CCUACGUGAGGCCGCAGUGAGGAAUAUUGGUCAAUGGGCUUACGCCUGAACCAGCCAAGUCGCGUGAGUGAAGAAGUAUUUCGGUACGUAAAGCUCUAUCAGCAGGACAGAAAAUGACGGUACCUGACUAAGAAGCCCCGGCUAACUACGUGCCAGCAGCCGCGGUAGUACGGAGAGGGCAAGCGGUAUCUGGAUUUACUGGGAGUCAAGGGUGCGUCGGCGGCAGCGCAAGUCAGGAGUGAAAUGCCUGGGCCCACACCCCGAACUGCUCUGGAAACUGGGAAGCUGGAGUGCAGGAGAGGUAAGCGGAAUUCCGGGUGUAGCGGUGAAAGGCGUAGAUAUCAGGAGGAACACCGGCGGCGAAGGCGGCUUACUGGACUGUAACUGACGUUGAGGCUCGAAGGCGUGGGGAGCAAACAGGAUUAGAUACCCCAGUAGUC
RNAcentral lists this ribosomal RNA (440 nucleotides) under uncultured bacterium. RNAcentral's name for it is "partial 16S ribosomal RNA". It matches the Rfam family "Bacterial small subunit ribosomal RNA", at positions 338 to 795 of the family's 1533-position model. The record is from RNAcentral.